GUUGCCAUCAGGUUAAGCUGGGGACUCUAAAGGAACUGCCUACGCAAGUAGUGAGGAAGCGGGGAUGACGUCAAAUCAGCACGGCCCUUACGUCCAGGGCUACACACGUGCUACAAUGGCCGAUACAGAGGGCAGCUACCUGGUGACAGGAUGCAAAUCUCCAAAGUCGGUCUCAGUUCGGAUCGGAGUCUGCAACCCGACUCCGUGAAGUUGGAUUCGCUAGUAAUCGCGCAUCAGCCAUGGCGCGGUGAAUACGUUACCCGGGACCUU
RNAcentral lists this ribosomal RNA (270 nucleotides) under uncultured Sphingobacteriales bacterium. RNAcentral describes it as "partial 16S ribosomal RNA". It matches the Rfam family "Bacterial small subunit ribosomal RNA", at positions 1114 to 1378 of the family's 1533-position model. Lineage: Bacteria; Pseudomonadati; Bacteroidota; Sphingobacteriia; Sphingobacteriales. The record is from RNAcentral.